RNAcentral lists this ribosomal RNA (459 nucleotides) under Triticum aestivum (bread wheat). RNAcentral's name for it is "partial small subunit ribosomal RNA". Lineage: Eukaryota; Viridiplantae; Streptophyta; Magnoliopsida; Poales; Poaceae. The record is from RNAcentral.
AUGGAAGCUAUCGAGGGCAGCCAAGACCUUGCCAAUGUUGAAUCUGCUCCUCCUGCUGUGGCCGUUGGUGAGGAUUGCAGUACGCUUGUUGUGGCUGGCUGCUCAGCUGAGUUGAGUGAGAAGGCUCAGUCCGUUGAUGAUCCGCCUGCCUUGGAAAAGGUCAUGCUCGAGGAUGAUCCUCCUGACUUGGCUUCUGUCCUACCCGGGAUGUCGACACUGGAGGAGCCGAAGGUUUCCAGUGCUCCUUGCACCAGGAAGCCUUCAAAGGAGCUGAUCCAGAUGGGUGCAGAUGAGCCUCUUGGGAGAGCCUCCUCUCCGUGGGGGGAGUUCCUCGAAGAGCUUGCUCUCACUGUGUCGAGCUCGCCGCAAGUUUUGCAGGUGGGAGAGGCUGCCCCUUCUCUCUUUGAGCGACAAAGCUGUCGUUUGGACAAGAAAACAAAGAUUGCGACAUUCCUGUAG